GCAAGCUCCCUGGGUGAUUCAGUCUCCACCACCAGGGCACCGACCUUUACUCUGUGUUCUCCUAGCUCCCUGUGGGGAUGCUGUGCAAGACAUCUCUAUUGAGGAUGCUGAAUAUGACAUCUGUAAUGAGGACACUGUACGAGACGUCUCUAAUGAGGAUGCUGUAGAAGACAUCUCUAAUGAUGACGCUGUAUACGACAUCGCUAAUGAGGACGCUGUAUAUGACAUCGCUAAUGAGGAUGCUGUACAAUACAUCUCUAAAAAAGAAGAUGCUGCCACUGAUCCAUUUGUACUGGAGAAUGGUAUGUACCCUGAAAUAACUCACUUCCUGAGGGAAAAAUGCUGUCUCUAGGGUACAGAAACCUGAUUCUGGGCUCUGUUUGGGAAGGAGGAUUCCCAAAUCAUUGCUCUGAUGAGAGCAAAUGAUUUUGCAAGUAUAAAACAAUGUUCAGAGAGGCUGUAGGGACACCUGUGAGCCCAGAGGAACCACCAGGGGAUCCUGUGUGAAGCACCGGGGCUUCAGCUGGGGUCAGAGGAGUGGGUGGGCCUCUCUCUAAUGACUUAUCCUGAUGUUUGUGUUUGAAAGAUCUGUUUUUGGAGAGCAUAUCCAAUGAUGAGGAUUUGUAGGUAGGUAACUACUUUCCAUGUAAGAUUCAAUGGGAGAGAGUUCCCAGGGGCCUUCAGGGUAUCCAUUUGCUUGGGAGGUUGAGGGAGGGGGCAUGAAAUCAAAAAGAAAAAGGAAAUAUGUGUCAAAUUGGAUUUGGUCUUUUCCAAGUUUCUUGCCAUAAUAUAAGAACUGUCUCUCUGGGCUGUGAGGGUGCUGUGUGAUUUAAAGGUGAUCUUUCCCAAAACACCUGGCCUUUUCUCUUCUGCCUCUGCCAAACAUCACAGCCUUUGGGUUGGACUAGUCAGCACUGCUUGGGAUUGUGCAGAAGAGGUUUGGGGUUGCAUCAAGUGUUGCCUGUGGCGAACAGAAUCUGAGGACACAACUCCCUCACAGGCACUUACUUGAACCUGGAGACAAAGUUCUCCUGGUGUGUGCCCAGGGGUGCAGGAGAAAUUGAUGGUCGUCCUCUGAACUUUUAGGACUUUAAAAAGCAUUCAUGUUUCCAUCCUCACUGUUGACUCCUGGCUUAAAAGGAUCUCCCAGGGUGAGUGAAGAGGCGGGAUCAGACCCUGGCAGUCUGAUGGCAACACCUGUGUUCCUCUGCGCUGGGCCUUGGACGACAUUACACACCUUGGUGAGAAUCAGGAAUUGCACACCUUUGUGAGAAUCUGCAUCUGGAAUUGAGAUGGGCCUUGAGUCAUAUAAUUAGUUUGGAAAAGGUGCAUUUUACUACCCUAUUGAAAGA
This 1352-nucleotide long non-coding RNA is filed under the name Piliocolobus tephrosceles (Ugandan red Colobus). RNAcentral describes it as "lncRNA (ENSPTEG00000039169.1)". Lineage: Eukaryota; Metazoa; Chordata; Mammalia; Primates; Cercopithecidae. The record is from RNAcentral.